UUUAGGAAUUAAGGUUUAAUUAAGAUUUGAUUUAGGAUUCGGUUUAGGAUUUAAGAUUUAAUUAGGAUUUGAUUUAGGGUUUGAUUUAGGAUUUAAGAUUUAAUUAGGAUUUGAUUUAGGAUUUAUUUAGGCAUUGGUUAGCAUUUGGUUUAGAGUUGGGUUAGGAUUUGGUUUAAGAUUUAGGAUUUUGUAUAGGAUUUAAGGUUUAAUUAGGGUUUGAUUUAGGGUUUGUUUAGGAAUUGAUUAGAAUUUGAUUUAGGAUUUGAUUAAGGUUUGGUUAUGGUUUAGGGUUUGAUUUAGGGUUUAGGAUUUUAUUAGGAUUUAUUUAGGAUUUAAGAUUUAAUUAUUUUUGGCCUAAAUUUUGAAUAAAGUCCAAUAGAUAUAACUAGGAUUAAAUUAAGAUUGAAUUGUGAUGUAUUUGAGAUAUAUUUGUGAUCAUUCUAAUAUUUCUUUAAGAUUUCUUUGAAAUUCUUUGAAAUUUCUUUGAAUUUGAUUAAAGCUUGUUUAACAUUAUUA
Molecule: long non-coding RNA, 516 nt
Filed under: Physcomitrium patens
Lineage: Eukaryota; Viridiplantae; Streptophyta; Bryopsida; Funariales; Funariaceae
Description: long non-coding RNA (PPAT_LNC003814)
Source: RNAcentral